Molecule: ribosomal RNA, 497 nt
Filed under: uncultured bacterium
Lineage: Bacteria
Description: partial 16S ribosomal RNA
Rfam family: Bacterial small subunit ribosomal RNA
Source: RNAcentral
GAUGAACGCUGGCGGCGUGCCUAAUACAUGCAAGUCGAGCGAACGGACGAGAAGCUUGCUUCUCUGAUGUUAGCGGCGGACGGGUGAGUAACACGUGGAUAACCUACCUAUAAGACUGGGAUAACUUCGGGAAACCGGAACUAAUACCGGAUGAUAUUUUGAACCGCAUGGUUCAAAAGUGAAAGACGGUCUUGCUGUCACUUAUAGAUGGAUCCGCGCUGCAUUAGCUAGUUGGUAAGGUAACGGCUUACCAAGGCAACGAUGCAUAGCCGACCUGAGAGGGUGAUCGGCCACACUGAAACUGAGACACGGUCCAGACUCCUACGGGAGGCAGCAGUAGGGAAUCUUCCGCAAUGGGCGAAAGCCUGACGGAGCAACGCCGCGUGAGUGAUGAAGGUCUUCGGAUCGUAAAACUCUGUUAUUAGGGAAGAACAUAUGUGUAAGUAACUGUGCACAUCUUGACGGUACCUAAUCAGAAAGCCACGGCUAACUACGUG